Molecule: ribosomal RNA, 253 nt
Filed under: uncultured bacterium
Lineage: Bacteria
Description: partial 16S ribosomal RNA
Rfam family: Bacterial small subunit ribosomal RNA
Source: RNAcentral
UACGUAGGGGGCGAGCGUUGUCCGGAUUUACUGGGCGUAAAGCGCACGCAGGCGGUCUGCGAAGUUUGGAGUGACAGUUGGUGGCUCAACCACCAAAGUGCUUUGAAAACUGACAGACUUGAGGGCUUCAGAGGGACACGGAAUUCCGGGUGGAGUGGUGAAAUGCGUAGAGAUCCGGAGGAACACCAAAGGCGAAGGCAGUGUCCUGGGGAGUACCUGACGCUCAGGUGCGAAAGCCAGGGGAGCGAACGGG